AACGUAACAAGGUUUCCGCAGGUGAACCUGCGGAAGGAUCAUUAACACGUAUCCUACGUUUAACUUCAUCGAAACCCCCGUCAGUGCAAAAAUGGAUCACACAACAGGCGAUUCGACAGAUGCGCUUUCCGGGGGGCACCUUACUGGUCACUUGAGGUAUGGAACUUGCCGCACGGUUUGUGUAGCAAAGCGGAUACUAGACUUUACCGCUGGAAAAAUUGACAACAAUACCCGUACCGUGCUCCUACUUCUUAGGGAGAGCUGGAGCCGGAAACCCCGAACAACUGUUAACAAUGGAUAACUUGGCUCUC
Molecule: unclassified non-coding RNA, 311 nt
Filed under: fungal sp.
Lineage: Eukaryota; Fungi
Description: partial internal transcribed spacer region
Rfam family: Eukaryotic small subunit ribosomal RNA (bases 1-44)
Source: RNAcentral